GACAGAGGGUGCAAACGUUGUUCGGAAUUACUGGGCGUAAAGCGCGUGUAGGCGGUUCGGUAAGUCGGAUGUGAAAGCCCCGGGCUCAACCCGGGAAGUGCACUCGAUACUGCCGAGCUAGAGUAUCGGAGAGGUUGGUGGAAUUCUCGGUGUAGAGGUGAAAUUCGUAGAUAUCGAGAGGAACACCGGUGGCAAAGGCGGCCAACUGGACGAAUACUGACGCUGAGACUCGAAAGCGUGGGGAGCAAACAGG
Molecule: ribosomal RNA, 253 nt
Filed under: uncultured bacterium
Lineage: Bacteria
Description: partial 16S ribosomal RNA
Rfam family: Bacterial small subunit ribosomal RNA
Source: RNAcentral